Molecule: ribosomal RNA, 497 nt
Filed under: uncultured bacterium
Lineage: Bacteria
Description: partial 16S ribosomal RNA
Rfam family: Bacterial small subunit ribosomal RNA
Source: RNAcentral
GAUGAACGCUGGCGGCGUGCCUAAUACAUGCAAGUCGAACGAACAGACGAGGAGCUUGCUCCUCUCACGUUAGCCGCGGACGGGUGAGUAACACGUGUAUAACCUACCUAUAAGACUGGGAUAACUUCGGGAAACCGGAACUAAUCCCGGAUAAUCUAUUGAACCGCAUUGGUCAAUAGUGAAAGACGGCUUUUCUGUCACGUAUAGAUGGAUCCGCGCCGCAUUAGCUAGUUGGUAAGGUAACGGCUUACCAAGGCAACGAUGCGUAGCCGACCGGAGAGGGGGAUCGGCCACACUGGAACUGAGACACGGUCCAGACUCCUACGGGAGGCAGCAGUCGGGAAUCUGACGCAGUGGGCGAGAGCAUGACGGAGCAACGCCGCGUGAGUGAUGAAGGUCUUGGGAUCGUAAAACUCUGUUAUUAGGGAAGAACAAAUGUGUAAGUAAAUAUGCACGUAUUGACGGUACCUAAUAAGAAAGCCACGGCUAACUACGUG